Molecule: ribosomal RNA, 885 nt
Filed under: uncultured bacterium
Lineage: Bacteria
Description: bacterial SSU rRNA
Rfam family: Bacterial small subunit ribosomal RNA
Source: RNAcentral
AGGGGGAACCUGAUCCAGCCAUGCCGCGUGAGUGAUGAAGGCCUUCGGGUUGUAAAGCUCUUUUGUGUGGGAAGAUAAUGACUGUACCACAAGAAUAAGCCCCGGCUAACUUCGUGCCAGCAGCCGCGGUAAUACGAAGGGGGCUAGCGUUGUUCGGAAUUACUGGGCGUAAAGGGUGCGUAGGUGGUUAUGUAAGUCAGAAGUGAAAGCCCUGGGCUCAACCCGGGAACUGCUUUUGAAACUACAUAGCUAGAGUUCGAGAGAGGUAAGUGGAAUAUCCAGUGUAGAGGUAAAAUUCGUAGAUAUUGGAUGGAACACCGGUGGCGAAGGCGGCUUACUGGCUCGAUACUGACACUGAGGCACGAAAGCGUGGGGAGCAAACAGGAUUAGAUACCCUGGUAGUCCACGCUGUAAACGAUGAAUGCUAGUUGUUGGAAAGUCUAACUUUUCAGUGACGCCGUUAACACAUUAAGCAUUCCGCCUGGGGAGUACAUUCGCAAGGAUGAAACUCAAAGAAAUUGACGGGGGCCCGCACAAGCGGUGGAGUAUGUGGUUUAAUUCGACGCAACGCGAAGAACCUUACCAGGCCUUGACAUGGCUAGUAUGGGGUUAAGAGAUUAACUCCUUCAGUUCGGCUGGCUAGCACACAGGUGCUGCAUGGCUGUCGUCAGCUCGUGUCGUGAGAUGUUGGGUUAAGUCCCGCAACGAGCGCAACCCUUAUCGUCAGUUGCUACCAGGUUAUGCUGGGCACUCUGAUGAAACUGCCGGUGACAAGCCGGAGGAAGGCGGGGAUGACGUCCAGUCCUCAUGGCCCUUACGGCCUGGGGCUACACACGUACUACAAUGGNUGGUGACAGUGGGNNUGCGAAAGCNCAAGCUNGANCC